RNAcentral lists this ribosomal RNA (377 nucleotides) under Odorrana graminea (large odorous frog). RNAcentral's name for it is "partial 12S ribosomal RNA". It matches the Rfam family "Bacterial small subunit ribosomal RNA", at positions 875 to 1400 of the family's 1533-position model. Lineage: Eukaryota; Metazoa; Chordata; Amphibia; Anura; Ranidae. The record is from RNAcentral.
AACUUACAUCUAUAAACGCCAGGGAAUUACGAGCUACGCUUAAAACCCAAAGGAUUUGACGGUGUCCCACCCACCUAGAGGAGCCUGUUCUAUAAUCGAUAAUACCCGCUAUACCCAACCACCUCUUGCUAUUCAGUCUGUAUACCUCCGUCGAAAGCUUACCAUGUGAACGCCUACAGUGAGUACAAUUACCCCCAACGUCAACACGUCAGGUCAAGGUGCAGCUUAAGGGGUGGAAAGAAAUGGGCUACAAUUUCUAAUCUAGAACAAACGAAAGACUAUGUGAAAUCAUGGUACUGAAGGCGGAUUUAGCAGUAAAAAGAAAAUAGAGCGUUCUUUUUAACCUGGCUCUGGGACGCGUACACACCGCCCGUCAC